Molecule: ribosomal RNA, 425 nt
Filed under: uncultured Ochrobactrum sp.
Lineage: Bacteria; Pseudomonadati; Pseudomonadota; Alphaproteobacteria; Hyphomicrobiales; Brucellaceae
Description: bacterial SSU rRNA
Rfam family: Bacterial small subunit ribosomal RNA
Source: RNAcentral
GUGGGGAAUAUUGGACAAUGGGCGCAAGCCUGAUCCAGCCAUGCCGCGUGAGUGAUGAAGGCCCUAGGGUUGUAAAGCUCUUUCACCGGUGAAGAUAAUGACGGUAACCGGAGAAGAAGCCCCGGCUAACUUCGUGCCAGCAGCCGCGGUAAUACGAAGGGGGCUAGCGUUGUUCGGAUUUACUGGGCGUAAAGCGCACGUAGGCGGACUUUUAAGUCAGGGGUGAAAUCCCAGAGCUCAACUCUGGAACUGCCUUUGAUACUGGAAGUCUUGAGUAUGGUAGAGGUGAGUGGAAUUCCGAGUGUAGAGGUGAAAUUCGUAGAUAUUCGGAGGAACACCAGUGGCGAAGGCGGCUCACUGGACCAUUACUGACGCUGAGGUGCGAAAGCGUGGGGAGCAAACAGGAUUAGAAACCCUAGUAGUCC